GGGUGAGUAACACGUGGGUAACCUGCCCUAAAGUCUGGGAUACCACUUGGAAACAGGCGCUAAUACCGGAUAACAACAAUAGCUGCAUGGCUAUUGCUUAAAAGGCGGCGAAAGCUGUCGCUAAAGGAUGGACCCGCGGUGCAUUAGCUAGUUGGUAAGGUAAUGGCUUACCAAGGCGACGAUGCAUAGCCGAGUUGAGAGACUGAUCGGCCACAUUGGGACUGAGACACGGCCCAAACUCCUACGGGAGGCAGCAGUAGGGAAUCUUCCACAAUGGGCGAAAGCCUGAUGGAGCAACGCCGCGUGAGUGAAGAAGGUUUUCGGAUCGUAAAGCUCUGUUGUUGGUGAAGAAGGAUAGAGGUAGUAACUGGCCCCUAUUUGACGGUAAUCAACCAGAAAGUCACGGCUAACUACGUGCCAGCAGCCGCGGUAAUACGUAGGUGGCAAGCGUUGUCCGGAUUUAUUGGGCGUAAAGCGAGCGCAGGCGGAAAGAUAAGUCUGAUGUGAAAGCCCCCGGCUUAACCGAGGAAUUGCAUCGGAAACUGUGUUUCUUGAGUGCAGAAGAGGAGAGUGGAACUCCAUGUGUAGCGGUGGAAUGCGUAGAUAUAUGGAAGAACACCAGUGGCGAAGGCGGCUCUCUGGUCUGUAACUGACGCUGAGGCUCGAAAGCAUGGGUAGCGAACAGGAUUAGAUACCCUGGUAGUCCAUGCCGUAAACGAUGAAUGCUAAGUGUUGGGA
This 738-nucleotide ribosomal RNA is filed under the name uncultured bacterium. RNAcentral describes it as "bacterial SSU rRNA". It matches the Rfam family "Bacterial small subunit ribosomal RNA", at positions 104 to 828 of the family's 1533-position model. The record is from RNAcentral.